Molecule: long non-coding RNA, 828 nt
Filed under: Medicago truncatula (barrel medic)
Lineage: Eukaryota; Viridiplantae; Streptophyta; Magnoliopsida; Fabales; Fabaceae
Description: lncRNA gene49085
Source: RNAcentral
UGGGUACUGGUAGUUUGCUUUUGUAAUAUUUCUCAAGAUGCAUAACACGACAUAUAGGUUUACUUUUGGUUUUAUGCAAUGUCACAGUGGAUCCCACUAAUGGUUGAAAUACAAUCACUAUGUACGAUAUUUUUAUCACUUUAAUUAUUUCUGUUUCUAUUUGGUACUGGUUUUUGUUUCAAAUGGGUAUCUGUUUGUAUCACUUUUGGUUAUAUAUCACACUAUGUACAGGCUCAAUAAUAUUAUUGGGGACCCAAUUUCAGAGACUUUGUACUGCAUUAGUAAUGUUAUUGUACUGGCUAUAUCAAUUUGGUACUAUUGCUAUAUGUUACUGCUCAUAAACCCUGAAAAUGAUGUUCAAUUUAGCCAGUAAUUUUUAUUUACAGCUUCUUCUGUUUAUACUUGGUAUUGAUUUUUUCAAAUUGGUGGUGAUUAAUAUUUGGUACUUAUUUUCCAACUUGGUACUGAUUUACUGUUAUUUUUUCCAUUCCAUCACCAAAAUUGCAUUGUAGAAUAUGGAUGCUAUCAUGAAUCAUAAACUACAGGGAGUCCAUGGAUAAUGCUAAAAGUAACAUAACCCACCCAUGGUUUAUAUUGACAUUUGAUGCUGGUUUUGAAACAGGUUUUUGCUACUGGUUCAGGUUAAUACUAGUGUUGCACCAGAUUUGGCUAUUAGUACCUGUCAUGUCACAUGGUUUGGUGAAUGAAACUAGUUUGUGUCGUGGAUCAACAUGUGAAUAAUGAUCCGUCGAUUGUUAUAUUUCUAAAUUUUCAAGCAUUUGCGAACAUUGAUUGAUGAGUAUUGAGUAAUAUACAUGCCUAAUAUUU